Molecule: ribosomal RNA, 250 nt
Filed under: uncultured bacterium
Lineage: Bacteria
Description: partial 16S ribosomal RNA
Rfam family: Bacterial small subunit ribosomal RNA
Source: RNAcentral
UACGGAGGGGGCUAGCGUUGUCCGGAGUUACUGGGCGUAAAGCGCGCGUAGGCGGCCUGUUAAGUCGGGUGUGAAAGCCCGGGGCUCAACCCCGGAUGCGCAUCCGAGACUGUCAGGCUGGAGUCCGGGAGAGGGCGGCGGAAUUCCCAGUGUAGAGGUGAAAUUCGUAGAUAUUGGGAAGAACACCGGUGGCGAAGGCGGCCGCCUGGUCCGGAACUGACGCUGAGGCGCGAAAGCGUGGGGAGCAAAC